Molecule: long non-coding RNA, 235 nt
Filed under: Homo sapiens (human)
Lineage: Eukaryota; Metazoa; Chordata; Mammalia; Primates; Hominidae
Description: non-protein coding lnc-POTEG-14:17
Source: RNAcentral
GUUUCCUCAUCCCUGCAGCUGUGUUUGAACAGACCUCCAUGAUUUUGCAGGAAACAAGAUAAAGCAGAGCCAAAGAUGAAAGGGGAAGCAAUUCCAGGCCGAUGAGAAGAUGCACGAUUGCCAUUCAGCUGGUUGGUGGAGAAUUUGAACUGGAGAUGAACUCUAUUAUCCAGGAUGCUGAGAGUAUAAUACGCAUGACAGAGCUUUUAGAGCACUGUGAUGUAACAUGUCAAGC